AAAUGCGAUAAUUAAUGUGAAUUGCAGAAUUCAGUGAAUCAUCGAAUCUUUGAACGCACCUUGCGCUCCUUGGUAUUCCUUGGAGCAUGCCUGUUUGAGUAUCAUGAAAUCUUCAAAGUAAAUCUUUUGUUAACUCAAUUGGUUUCUACUUUCGUAUUGGAGGUCUUUGCAGCUUCACACCUGCUCCUCUUUGUUCAUUAGCUGGAUCUCAGUGUUAUGCUUGGUUCCACUCGGCGUGAUAAGUUAUCUAUCGCUGAGGACACUGUAAAAGGUGGCCAAGGUAAAUGCAGAUGAACCGCUUCUAAUAGUCCAUUGACUUGGACAAUACUUUUAUGAUCUGAUCUCAAAUCAGGUAGGACUACCCGCUGAACUUAAGC
This 377-nucleotide unclassified non-coding RNA is filed under the name plant metagenome. RNAcentral's name for it is "partial contains 5.8S ribosomal RNA, internal transcribed spacer 2, and large subunit ribosomal RNA". The stretch from base 1 to 104 matches the Rfam family "5.8S ribosomal RNA", at positions 51 to 154 of the family's 154-position model. The record is from RNAcentral.